This 429-nucleotide ribosomal RNA is filed under the name Actinomycetes bacterium. Its description in RNAcentral is "Actinobacteria bacterium partial 16S ribosomal RNA". It matches the Rfam family "Bacterial small subunit ribosomal RNA", at positions 355 to 776 of the family's 1533-position model. The record is from RNAcentral. Lineage: Bacteria; Bacillati; Actinomycetota; Actinomycetes.
UAGGGAAUCUUCCGCAAUGGGCGAAAGCUUGACGGAGCAACGCCGCGUGAGUGAUGAAGGUCUUCGGAUCGUAAAACUCUGUUAUUAGGGAAGAACAAAUGUGUAAGUAACUAUGCACGUUUUGACGGUACCUAAUCAGAAAGCCACGGCUAUCUACGUGCCAGCAGCCGCGGUAAUACGUAGGUGGCAAGCGUUAUCCGGAAUUAUUGGGCGUAAAGCGCGCGUAGGCGGUUUUUUAAGUCUGAUGUGAAAGCCCACGGCUCAACCAUGAAGGGUCAUUGGAAACUGGAAAACUUGAGUGCAGAAGAGGAAAGUGGAAUUCCAUGUGUAGCAGUGAAAUGCGCAGAGAUAUGGAGGAACACCAGUCGCGAAGGCGACUUUCUGGUCUGUAACUGACGCUGAUGUGCGAAAGCGUGGGGAUCAAACAGG